CGGGCUCAAGCCAUCAGUGCAAACGCCACCCCGGUGGCAUCAGGUAAACUGUGCCCAGCGGGCACAUGCAUUUACAGUAACCCUCUGGCACUCAGGUUUUAAGGGAUACGGCAAUUAACGGGUUAAUCCGAAGCAUCAAGACUUUGAAAUCACAUACACAGAACAAUAUUCAUUAAGAAAGUGAAAUUAAAUGAUUAAUAAACUAUUUAUUCGAACCCUCGCUAUUUUCUAUUCUAAUAAAAGUUUUGGCUGUGGAACAUCUGUAAUAGAGUUGGCUAGCUGGAUGCAAAUAAAGUCAUGCCUUUUAUUUUUUCCCGUUUGCUAUUUCACAUUCCUGUCACUGAAGCGUUGUGGCCUAAGACACAGAAGGUAACUGAAACAAUGUGGUUUAAGUCAAGGUGAUUAUUAGGGGUCCAAGCACAUUGGUUUGUGUAGAUGAUGCAGUUACACAAUGAACGUGUCUCUUUUCAAGUAAAUUAUGAGUCCUUAUGUGAGUACUAUUAUAUGCACAACAUGAAAAUAGAUAACUAAUAUAGUGUCCCUUCUACACUUUUUCAGUAAUGUGUGAUAACUUGAGAAAUAUGUUGUCAAUACAAUUAAAAUAACAAAGUAAUGGUAUUUAGGAGAUGAUAGCUUUUGCAUAAUUACUAUAUUGGGCUUUAUUAAAGUUUAUGAAAAAAGAAUGAAUGUUUAUGCAUUUUUUGUUUAUGCACAUAAGUGAAACAUUUUCAAGUCUUUGAACAGAUCUUGAAGUAUUUGCUAUCCUGUGGCGCCAUCGAGUGGACAACAUUAGCAUUGUGGCCUUCAUUUUUGAACAACAUUAUGAAAGGGGCCAAUAUUUUUUGAAUGAUUAUAAAUAUUUAAUGAUUAUUUACUGAUAAUAUACCCACAUUAAAAUCUAAUUUACUGAUUCUGUAUCUUAUUUCAUGCUUAAUCAUGAGUAUAAUUUUCAAUUUACAUUUUUAAGCAGUGUUGAAUGAUUACUAUGUGAGUUGCAAAUUUUUUGUUUUGUUUUGUUUGUUU
This is a long non-coding RNA of Cyprinus carpio carpio, 1023 nucleotides long. The record is from Ensembl. Lineage: Eukaryota; Metazoa; Chordata; Actinopteri; Cypriniformes; Cyprinidae.